GAAAAGAAACUAACAAGGAUUCCCCUAGUAACUGCGAGUGAAGAGGGAAAAGCUCAAAUUUAAAAUCUGGCAGUCCUGAUUGUCCGAGUUGUAAUUUAGAGAAGUGUUACCCGCGUUGGACCGUGUACAAGUCUCCUAGAAAUGGAGCGUCAUAGAGGGUGAGAAUCCCGUCUUUGACACGGACUACCAAGGCUUUGUGGUGCGCUCUCGAAGAGUCGUGUUGUUUGGGAAUGCAGCACUAAAUGGGUGGUAAAUUCCAUCUAAAGCUAAAUAUUGGCGAGAGACCGAUAGCGAACAAGUACCGUGAGGGAAAGAUGAAAAGAACUUUGGAAAGAGAGUUAAACAGUACGUGAAAUUGCUGAAAGGGAAACGCUUGAAGUCAGUCGCGUUGGCUAGGGAUCAACCUUGCUUUUGUGGGGUGUACUUCCUAGUUAACGGGUCAACAUCAGUUUUGACUGCUGGAAAAAGGCUAGAGAAAUGUGACAAUCCGGUUGUGUUAUAGUCUGUGGUCAUAUACAGUGGUUGGGACUGAGGAACUCAGCACGCCGCAAGGCCGGGUUUUUAACCACGUUCGUGCUUAGGAUGUUGGCAUAAUGGCUUUAAGCGACCCGUCUUGAAACACGGACCAAGGAGUCUAACAUGCCUGCGAGUAUUUGGAUGGAAAACCCGAGUGCGUAAUGAAAGUGAAAGUUGAGAUCCCUGUCGUGGGGAGCAUCGACGCCCAUACCUGAGCUUCUGUGACGGAUAUGCGGUUGAGCAUGUAUGUUGGGACCCGAAAGAUGGUGAACUAUGCCUGAAUAGGGUGAAGCCAGAGGAAACUCUGGUGG
This 827-nucleotide ribosomal RNA is filed under the name Marasmiellus candidus. RNAcentral's name for it is "partial large subunit ribosomal RNA". It matches the Rfam family "Eukaryotic large subunit ribosomal RNA", at positions 56 to 870 of the family's 3401-position model. The record is from RNAcentral. Lineage: Eukaryota; Fungi; Basidiomycota; Agaricomycetes; Agaricales; Omphalotaceae.